UAACGAGAUGGUUCUCUAUGAGGCCCAUCAUCGGAAUGGGUACAAUUUAAACCCUUUAACGAGGAUCUAUUGGAGGGCAAGUCUGGUGCCAGCAGCCGCGGUAAUUCCAGCUCCAAUAGCAUAUGCCAACGUUGUUGCUGUUAAAAAGCUCGUAGUUGGAUUUUUUCUGAGGAUGGAGUCGGUCUGACGGACCUGUACUCUAUUCCAAGGAUAUAAUCGCUGGUCUUCCCAUGGUUCUCUUUAUUGGGUGCCUUGGGUGGCUAGCACGUUUACUUUGAAAAAAUUAGAGUGCUCAAAACAGGCGUUACUGCCCGUAUAGUGGUGCAUGGAAUAAUGGAAUAGGAUCUCGGUUCUAUUUUGUUGGUUUUAGGAGCGCGAGAUAAUGAUUAAGAGGGACAGACGGGGGCAUUCGUAUUGCGGCGUUAGAGGUGAAAUUCUUGGAUCGCCGCAAGACGAACAAUUGCGAAAGCAUUUGCCAAGAAUGUUUUCAUUAAUCAAGAACGAAAGUUAGAGGUUCGAAGGCGAUCAGAUACCGCCCUAGUUCUAACCGUUAACGAUGCCAAUUAGCGAUCUGCUGGCGUUAAUCAUGACCCAGCAGGCAGCUUCCCGGAAACGAAAAUCUUUCGGUUCAGGGGGAAGUAUGGUUGCAAAGCUGAAACUUAAAGGAAUUGACGGAAGGGCACCACCAGAUGUGGAGCCUGCGGCUUAAUUUGACCCAACACGGGAAAACUCACCCGGCCCGGACACUGUAAGGAUUGACAGAUUGAUAGCUCUUUCUUGAUUCAGUGGGUGGUGGUGCAUGGCCGUUCUUAGUUGGUGGAGCGAUUUGUCUGGUUAAUUCCGAUAACGAACGAGACUCUAGCCUGCUAAAUAGUCUGCAGAUCGCACAGUCUGCAGUACUUCUUAGAGGGACAAGCGGCAUUUAGCCGCACGAAAAUGAGCAAUAACAGGUCUGUGAUGCCCUUAGAUGUCCGGGGCUGCACGCGCGCUACACUGAAGGAAUCAACAUGCUUGUUUCCUUGUCUGAAAGGACUGGGUAACCCUUUGAAACUCCUUCGUGCUUGGGAUAGGGAAUUGCAAUUAUUUCCCUUGAACGAGGAAUAUCCAGUAGGUGUGGGUCAUAAGCUCGCGUUGAUUACGUCCCUGCCCUUUGUACACACCGCCCGUCGCUACGAGGGAGUGGACCAUUUACUGAAGUCUUUGGACUGGAGUGUUGUUGGUUUUACCGAUAUCACUUCGGAAAUUAGCCUAAAGUUGAUGGUCU
Molecule: ribosomal RNA, 1264 nt
Filed under: metagenome
Description: SSU rRNA
Rfam family: Eukaryotic small subunit ribosomal RNA
Source: RNAcentral